Non-coding RNA from Rhinichthys klamathensis goyatoka, 489 nucleotides. The record is from the annotation of a RefSeq genome assembly. NCBI's taxonomy places the organism in Eukaryota, Metazoa, Chordata, Actinopteri, Cypriniformes, Leuciscidae.
CACUGACUGGGAGCUUCAGUUGUCUGAAGGAUUCUGUUAUGGCAGUUCUGCAAAGCUCAGUGAGGAAACCAUCGUUUAAAACAAUGUCUUUCUGUUUGUUAAUAGUUUUAAUGGCAUUUAUUGGUGCCAGUAUACAAGACAGCAUUAAUCCAACAUCUCCUGCUGUCCAUACAAAGGACAAUGAAAAAGUGACUAUUUCUUGUGAAUACCAGUACACUGUGUCAAUGAAUAAUCUACAGUGGUAUCGACAACACCUCAACAAUACCCCACCGGAAUUCCUGAUUCUGAUCAUGGAGUCGGGACAAAUGCAGACCGCUACACCUCCUCAUCCUCGGCUGACAGCCUCAGUUGAUAAAGCAAACAAGAUGGUGAAUCUGGAAAUCUUCCCUGCAGAUGUGGCGGAUUCUGCAAUGUAUUACUGUGCACUGCAGCCCACAGUGGCAGGAAACACCAUGAACACCAUACAAAAACCUGCUCAAAGCUAAAAGG